RNAcentral lists this unclassified non-coding RNA (2202 nucleotides) under Hevea brasiliensis (rubber tree). Lineage: Eukaryota; Viridiplantae; Streptophyta; Magnoliopsida; Malpighiales; Euphorbiaceae. The record is from RNAcentral.
GCCCUUUUGUCUUUGUCCAAAUCCGCCUACUCUUUUUUUCAGCUUCACGAUUACACAGAAAGAGAGAGAUUUGAGAGAGACAGAGAGAGUACCCGGUGAUGAAAACAGGAGUUUCUGGCGACAACUGGAAGUCCGAUGACCCACUACCGGAGGGCUGGACAGUCCAGGUCAAAGUGAGGAGCAACGGUAAAAAAGAUAAGUGUUACUUUCCUCCCUCAGGUGAAGGUAAAUUCUACUCCAAACUAGAGGUAGUUCGCUAUCUUAACAACAGCAAUCCUAAAUCUGAAGAGAAGGAAAAAGGCAUUGACCAGCACAAUGAAAAUGUUGUAGUUGAGAAGGCUGAGCCAAAAGGAUUACCUCCAGGAUGGACCAAAGAAAUCAAAGUGACAAAGAAAGCUCAUAAAAUCAGAAGGGAUUCGUAUUACACUGAUCCUGCAAGCGGAUAUGUAUUCCGCUCUAUGAAGGACGUACUUCGCUAUCUUGAAACUGGGGAGGUAGGGAAACAAGCAUUCAAGCCCAAAGACAAAGGCAACAAUGAUGUUGAGUUGGAAGAUGAUAAAGCAUGUUCACCAGCUGCAGCAAAGAAACAAAAGUUGGCAGUCAAUGGAACAAGAAGUCCAACUAUAAGUGAGAAGAGCUCAAAGCCAUUUGAAGUUGCAAAGGAUGAACAAGUACUUAGUUCGGCUAAUACAGGAGAAUCCUUGCCUGUCUCUGAGCAUAAUGUAGUAGGUGCUCAGUCUAACAGCUCAGAAGUGCCAGAGGGCAAAGGUUCAAACCAAACAGUAGGGAAGAGUGAUCCUGCUACAAGUGUAAUAGCUACUGCAGUUGAUAUCCUCCCAAAUGAGCCACCAGUGGAAAGUAGGGUGAUGAAGGAUGAAAUUAGAAGUACACCUCAAAAAUGCAAGAAGAAAAAGAAUCUUAACCUGCCUCGCCGGGCUUCAAAGCGACUUGCUGGCCUUCCACUCGAUCCUACACCUGAAUUGAAAACAACAAACCGAGCCCGUCAAGCUCCAGUUAAACAGUCUGAUGAUAUAGUUGUAAGUACAGGUGGAGGUUCUUCCCACACUGAGCUCCCCAAAAGCACAAAAUGUUCAUUUGAGUCAAAUAAGAGCAAGCAUCCAAUUGUACAUACAGCUGCUCCAAGCGAACAUGUAGAAAAGGUAGAAAGUGUAAAAAGGGGUGAUGAGAAGCCUGAACAUGCUGUUGUUUCAUCUAUAGGAAAUCUAGUAGAAACAGAAAAUGAGGAUAGUAAGAAGUGUGAACAUGCUGUUCUUUCAGGUGGUAGGAAUCUGGCUAUUGGAGAGGAACAUCCUGGAAUGAUCAUAACUGACAAUAAUGCUGAUGAGAAGCCAGGACUGCCUAUUGACCUCCCACUUGGGGAGUUAUGGCAAGAUCCAUGCAUUGCAUUUGCAAUAAAAAUCCUCACUGGAAUAUCAUUUGACAAUUCUGGAAGUGUACAAGUCUCAUCAGGGUCAAACAAUAGUGAAUUUGGGAGCUCAACUGCUUUGGAAGACCAUGCCAGGAAAGAGGAGGAUCAUAGGAAGCAAGGAUGCACUGUUCAUCAGCCUCUGGUUAACAUAGUUACUUCAGAAGAACGUCCUAGAGGAAUUGACAUUGGUGAUAAAAGUGAUGAGAAGCCAGGAUCCCCUCUUUCUUUUGCAGAUGCAUGGGCAGACCCCUGCAUUGAAUUUGCUAUAAAAACUCUCACAGAUGCAAUUCCAUUAGACUAUGAUAUGGUCAUUCAGGAUUGUCUUCCACAGAAAGCGAGCUCAUCACAGUCACAAGAAAGUAGUGGCUUGACCUUGCAGAAUGUAGGUGAGCCUGGUCAAACCGAAUUUUUUUAUCGGCAAUUUGGCAUUUCAGAGAAGCCUUCAUACAAUCAAGGGGCUUUGAUGGAGCCUGCAUUACCACACGCUAAAAAUGUGAACUUAGGAUACUCGGGUGGAGCCAUUCACCAUCAACUCAGUGAAGACAGAAGCAAAGAAUAUAAAAGGUAGCAAUCCAGUUGUAGUAAUCAAUUCAUUGUACAGUCUAGGGAACUUCGAUCUGGACGUGAUUAUUUUUGGGACGAGAUCAUCUGUAAUUCUCUAGUUAGCAUGAAUGUUCACCCCCUAAUCUAUCUGUACUCAGAUAUAAACUUUGUUGUCAUUCAUUUGAGAUAAAAAUUAGUUGGAACAAAGUUUAUAUCUGAGUACAGAUAGA